Numida meleagris (helmeted guineafowl) is the source of this 3292-nucleotide long non-coding RNA. RefSeq lists it as uncharacterized. The transcript is spliced from 7 exons. The record is from RefSeq and is a predicted model, not a curated record. NCBI's taxonomy places the organism in Eukaryota, Metazoa, Chordata, Aves, Galliformes, Numididae.
UAUUACUGAUGACUGCAGCCUAUCUGGAAAAUGGACACACUUACACUACUACACAGAGCGUAUUUUGAGUGAGUCCUGAAAGGCUUUAACUCAUCCAUCAAUUGAUUGUAUUGUCAUUGCUACAUAAGAUUAUUCAGCACGGAGCAUCUAUUACUGCGGCUCUGAUUGAAACAUUGCCCUUGUUGUGCAGAACUAUUUAACUCUGUCUCUUUGAAACGAAAAGUGAAAUGUUUCUUAUCUUGCAAAAAGACAGAUUUAUUCUCAGCCUCUUGAAAAACAGGUAGGAGAGCCUGGAAGCAUUUCUUUUAGCAGCUGUACAUAUGGAGUCCUCUGCGACAGAGAGAGGGAAAUGCACGCAUCCUUUCCUCCCGGAGAUUUCCGAUUUUGUUACUGGCACGAGCGUGCCUGAGGGCUCUGCGGAGUAAGGCAGUGUGUGUAGGUACAUGUCUGUAUACGUGCAGGUUUUCCCCUGCAGCUGCGGCGACCCGGGCGCGGUGGCGGCUGGCGUUCGGCCUACCACCGCUUGGUGACAGUGCAGCCCCGGCGUACGCUGCCCGCUCCUUCUUCCCGCUCUCGGCAGCUUCUCCCAAGUCGCCUUUUCCCCUUUCUCCGCGCUGCUUUCCGUCUCCUCACCCUUUCCUCCCUCCCCUUUCCUAUUUAAAUACCGGGGAAGGCGCUGCUCCUGGGCUGGCCCUGCAGCUCCCUGCCCAAGCUUUGUGGUGGAGGCUGCAGGCCGUGCAACAGGGCCUGUGGGUGCUUAGGUUACAGCGAGGACAAGGCAGAGCAAAUCGAGAGGAUUCUGAGCCUCAGCUUCCUCUUCUGAACGGUUUGGCAGCCUCUGAACGGGGCUCUUCACUGUGGCUGUGACCUAGGAAUAGUGGGGUACAGCCAGUGCUGAUGCCACGCUGUGUGUGCUGGGCCCGCGAGGGAAGGCAGGCAUCAGUCCUGCUGCCCCACACUGCAAAGUUCCUGGUGCUGGAAGUGAUGGAAGCCAGUGCUUUGCUUAGAAGGAGUGACAUAGGUGCCGAGGAAAGGAUUCAAGCUGUCCAGGCACCCUGGAACUGGGGCAGUGGGGCCAGGCCACUGCCCUCUGGCAGAGCUGAGUGCUUGUGGCAGCUUCAGCCCCACACCGUUGGUUUCAGCAGAGGGAGGGAUGGGAAGCACUUUGUGAGCGCCAGCUCCCUGUAGGUUGUUUCCAGUCAGACAGUUCAGAAAUCAAUUGUGUAUAUCAAAAGGCAAAAUUAGGCUGGGAGGUUGUAGAUAAGAGUUCCUAGAGAGCCUGUGAAUCUGGCAAGGGCAGUUUAUUAUUUCUACAGCACUUUUCACCCAGCAACUUCACAGCGACUGCAUUGAUGUCUGAGGCAGAAAAGUACAGUUCUCAACUCCAGCAUAAAAGUAAAUGAGCUACAUACAAAUACAUUUGUAUUUGUACUUCUCAAGUAACACUGGGAAGUGAGAGCAGAAAAGGGAGAAGGGGGCAGAACCUCCAAAUCCUGCAUGCCACUGACAGCCAUGUCAAGAUCUUUUGCCUGGGGUCUAAUGCCAGGUGGUCUUCAGCAGGUUAUUGCUUCCAGCUAGACUCUGAUACCCCUGCAGCUAGGGAUCGUGAAGCUGCUGUUCCAGAGCACCUUGAUGCUCCCGGAUCAAAUAGUAAGUCCAGAAUAGAGGACAGCGCUGAAUGCAAAGUUGUCUGUUUUCUGUAGACUAAAAGCCUGGAGCCUGCUGUCCCCAGAAUGGCUGUGCACAUUUCCUGGUGAUGCUGGGGCUCACAGGUGGGCAUCAGGAGGGGCCUGGGUUCUGUAAAAAAGCCUGCCACUAGGGCAUCAUUGCUCCAGGAGCUGUCAGGACCACAUUUUCUGAAGAGCUCCCAUUCACAAAGGUAAAACAUGUCAUUAUUUUGUAUUCUUGGAGAGCCAAAAGAAGAAAUUCAGCCCUGACUACCUUCAGAAGGGGAGAUCCUGCCAUCAGCAGAGGCAGUGCACUGAAAGCUGAGGGGAGAAUAAGAGGAAGGGCACAGAGCUGUGAAUGAUGGGCGAACGUGCAAAAGGGAUCUCUUUUUUAUGGACAGAAGAGGGAAACAGUUUUUCAAGGCCUAGGCUAAGGUGGGGAUGAACUCAUUCUUCUGAAGCAUUGCACUUGUUAUCUUGGUGUGUUUAAGGAACUGUGUAAUCUUCCAAAAGCUUCGGUCUGGAUCUGGACUUUCACUGCAGCAGUGAAGAACAGGAGCUAAAGAAGCUGGCUAGACAGGCUAAACAGCAGAAUCUGGACGACACUGCCCCAAGGUAGCUUAUUUUGUCUGUUAUGAACUCAGGGAGAUCUCAUCAGUGUGUACAAAUACCUGAAGGGAAGGUGUGAAGGGGAUGCAUACAGAGUCUUUUCAGUGGUGCCCAGUGCCAGGGCAGAUUGAUUUAUUACCUUCCUGAAAGGUGAAAUACCUAACAGAGGUUACGAACAGUACUUCUGAAAUCAGCAUUUAAAUAACAUUUCAAAACCACUAGAAACCUCAUUAUCCUGAAUAUACAGUUUUAGCAGUCAUACAAGCAGUGAAAAAGCAGUGAAACAAAUGUGCGACUUGUAACUGGGCAAAACCAAUGGUACCGACUAAACACUAUGCUGAUAAACAUCCAAUUAGCCACUAGGUACCUUGGCACAUCAGUGCAUUUGCUGAAACUUGGUAAGGCAAAAGCAAUUCAGAGAGCCUCAACCCACUUAUUCUUGUCUUCACUGUAUGACAGCAUCACAUCUGCUGUCUGUGAAAUCUGUUCCUGGUGCAUUGAUGGACCUAACACCACCCUCAACACCUGCUGGGGCCAGAUGGUGAACCAUGAAGUAUCCCCUCCUGCCUAUCUGGUGACUCUUUGGCAUGGGGAGGAAAACAACUUCUGCAAGAAGGAGAGCCACUAAGAUCCCAGAGACUAGGCAGAAGUUUUUGUAUCUUCUUCACUAUAGUUUAUUUCUUUACCCUCCCUCCUAAGUGUUUUACUAAUUCUUUCCUUUCCCCAUCUCUUCUACCAGCAGCUUCUGUAGGCUGCAUUUAUAUAUACAUAUAUAUAUUUGUUCUUUCUGUGUAAAGCAGCAUGAUUCACGGGAAAAGGCUUUGUAGCUCCUGCUUAGUGACCUCUCCUGGUUCCUCACUCCUGUUCUCCGCUGAUCAGAGCCACUGGUGAUUAGAUGCUCAGCAGAGGUGAUUGUGGAGCCUUUGACACCUCGCAUCCCCUGCUGCCUAGAUUUCGAAGAGGUAAUCAUUCCCAGAGACCUGCCACUGACCCUUUGCUCGAGCUUUUGUCGGUCA